RNAcentral lists this ribosomal RNA (540 nucleotides) under uncultured bacterium. RNAcentral describes it as "bacterial SSU rRNA". It matches the Rfam family "Bacterial small subunit ribosomal RNA", at positions 776 to 1319 of the family's 1533-position model. The record is from RNAcentral.
AAAUAGAUACCCGGGUAGUCCACGCCGUAAACGAUGAAUACUAGGUGUAGGAGGUAUCGACCCCUUCUGUGCCGCAGUUAACACAAUAAGUAUUCCGCCUGGGGAGUACGAUCGCAAGAUUAAAACUCAAAGGAAUUGACGGGGGCCCGCACAAGCAGCGGAGCAUGUGGUUUAAUUCGAGGCAACGCGAAGAACCUUACCUAGACUUGACAUCUCCUGAAUUACCCUUAACCGGGGAAGCCCUUCGGGGCAGGAAGACAGGUGGUGCAUGGUUGUCGUCAGCUCGUGUCGUGAGAUGUUGAGUUAAGUCCCGCAACGAGCGCAACCCUUAUCAUUAGUUGCUACCAUUAAGUUGAGCACUCUAGUGAGACUGCCACGGUUAACGUGGAGGAAGGUGGGGAUGACGUCAAAUCAUCAUGCCCCUUAUGUCUAGGGCUACACACGUGCUACAAUGGUGAGUACAAAGAGAUGCAAUACCGUGAGGUGGAGCCAAACUCAAAAACUCAUCCCAGUUCGGAUUGUAGGCUGAAACUCGCCUAC